Molecule: ribosomal RNA, 853 nt
Filed under: Salirhabdus sp. 17_Am4_B_BM1
Lineage: Bacteria; Bacillati; Bacillota; Bacilli; Caryophanales; Bacillaceae
Description: bacterial SSU rRNA
Rfam family: Bacterial small subunit ribosomal RNA
Source: RNAcentral
ACUGCAGUCGAGCGGACGAAGGGAGCUUGCUCCCGGAUGUUAGCGGCGGACGGGUGAGUAACACGUGGGUAACCUGCCUGUAAGACUGGGAUAACUCCGGGAAACCGGAGCUAAUACCGGAUAGUUCCUUGAACCGCAUGGUUCAAGGAUGAAAGACGGUUUCGGCUGUCACUUACAGAUGGACCCGCGGCGCAUUAGCUAGUUGGUGAGGUAACGGCUCACCAAGGCGACGAUGCGUAGCCGACCUGAGAGGGUGAUCGGCCACACUGGGACUGAGACACGGCCCAGACUCCUACGGGAGGCAGCAGUAGGGAAUCUUCCGCAAUGGACGAAAGUCUGACGGAGCAACGCCGCGUGAGUGAUGAAGGUUUUCGGAUCGUAAAGCUCUGUUGUUAGGGAAGAACAAGUGCAAGAGUAACUGCUUGCACCUUGACGGUACCUAACCAGAAAGCCACGGCUAACUACGUGCCAGCAGCCGCGGUAAUACGUAGGUGGCAAGCGUUGUCCGGAAUUAUUGGGCGUAAAGGGCUCGCAGGCGGUUUCUUAAGUCUGAUGUGAAAGCCCCCGGCUCAACCGGGGAGGGUCAUUGGAAACUGGGAAACUUGAGUGCAGAAGAGGAGAGUGGAAUUCCACGUGUAGCGGUGAAAUGCGUAGAGAUGUGGAGGAACACCAGUGGCGAAGGCGACUCUCUGGUCUGUAACUGACGCUGAGGAGCGAAAGCGUGGGGAGCGAACAGGAUUAGAUACCCUGGUAGUCCACGCCGUACACGAUGAGUGCUAACUGUUAAGGCGGUUUCCGCCCCUUAAUUGCUGCAGCUUAAGCCAUUAAAGCACUCCCGCCUGAGGGAGAACGG